GUGGUAAGAGCAUCAAAGCCUAAUUGGGC
Molecule: non-coding RNA, 29 nt
Filed under: Homo sapiens (human)
Lineage: Eukaryota; Metazoa; Chordata; Mammalia; Primates; Hominidae
Source: RNAcentral